RNAcentral lists this ribosomal RNA (1378 nucleotides) under uncultured bacterium. Its description in RNAcentral is "16S ribosomal RNA". It matches the Rfam family "Bacterial small subunit ribosomal RNA", at positions 30 to 1399 of the family's 1533-position model. The record is from RNAcentral.
UGAACGCUGGCGGUAUGCUUAACACAUGCAAGUCGAACGGAAACGAUACUAGCUUGCUAGUAGGCGUCGAGUGGCGGACGGGUGAGUAACGCGUAGGAAUCUGCCUGAUAGUGGGGGAUAGCCCGAAGAAAUUCGGAUUAAUACCGCAUAAUCUAUUCGUAGUAAAGUGGGGGACUUUCGAGCCUCACGCUAUCAGAUGAGCCUGCGUAAGAUUAGCUUGUUGGUAGGGUAAAAGCCUACCAAGGCGACGAUCUUUAGCUGGUCUGAGAGGAUGAUCAGCCACAUCGGGACUGAGACACGGCCCGAACUCCUACGGGAGGCAGCAGUGGGGAAUAUUGGACAAUGGGGGCAACCCUGAUCCAGCAAUACCGCGUGUGUGAAGAAGGCCUGAGGGUUGUAAAGCACUUUCAAUUGUGAAGAAAAGUUAGCGGUUAAUAACCGUUAGCCUUGACGUUAACUUUAGAAGAAGCACCGGCUAACUCCGUGCCAGCAGCCGCGGUAAUACGGAGGGUGCAAGCGUUAAUCGGAAUUACUGGGCGUAAAGCGUGCGUAGGCGGUUUAUUAAGUCAGAUGUGAAAGCCCCGGGCUUAACCUGGGAACUGCAUUUGAAACUGGUCAACUAGAGUAUGGUAGAGGAAAGUGGAAUUUCUGGUGUAGCGGUGAAAUGCGUAGAUAUCAGAAGGAACAUCAAUGGCGAAGGCAGCUUUCUGGACCAAUACUGACGCUGAGGUACGAAAGCGUGGGUAGCAAACAGGAUUAGAUACCCUGGUAGUCCACGCCGUAAACGAUGAUAACUAGCCGUUGGGGGGAUUUACCCCUUAGUGGCGAAGCUAACGCGUUAAGUUAUCCGCCUGGGGAGUACGGCCGCAAGGUUAAAACUCAAAGGAAUUGACGGGGACCCGCACAAGCGGUGGAGCAUGUGGUUUAAUUCGAUGCAACGCGAAGAACCUUACCUGGUCUUGACAUCCUGCGAACUUUCUAGAAAUAGAUUGGUGCCUUCGGGAACGCAGUGACAGGUGCUGCAUGGCUGUCGUCAGCUCGUGUCGUGAGAUGUUGGGUUAAGUCCCGUAACGAGCGCAACCCCUAUCCUUAUUUGCCAGCACAUCAUGGUGGGAACUAUAAGGAGACUGCCGGUGAUAAACCGGAGGAAGGCGGGGACGACGUCAAGUCAUCAUGGCCCUUACGACCAGGGCUACACACGUGCUACAAUGGGAAGGACAAAGAGCCGCGAAGCCGCGAGGUGUAGCUAAUCUCAUAAACCUUUUCGUAGUCCGGAUUGGAGUCUGCAACUCGACUCCAUGAAGUCGGAAUCGCUAGUAAUCGUAGAUCAGAAUGCUACGGUGAAUACGUUCCCGGGUCUUGUACUCACCGCCCGUCA